AAGCCAGUGUUGAAGCCUUCCUCAUUGUCGUGCAACCAGGACAGCCCUUCCUCCUGCAUGUUGGUGAAAACAAGAGCAGCACCAAAGACACUUCACCAUCAGUGAUCAAAAGAUCAUCCAAGUCCCUGUGGCAAGCAGUCUUCUGCAUGGUCAGCGUUGAAGGCCAUAUUGUCUUUGAGAGGGUCCAGCCAACAUUCCAGACAGGACAGCGUUGUCCAUCUUCCACAUCUUCUACCUUCUAACAUUUGACGAAGUUGCUUCAUUGGGAUUAACCCAGAAAGGGGCACAAAAGUCAGUCAUGGGAAGAUGGUAUCCAAAAAAACAGGAAAGACCAUUCAAAAGAAAAAGUGACAGUCAAUGUUCAGGUUUCCACCCUCAUCAAAAACCUAAUAGACUUUGAGUGGCAUCUCAUUCAGUAAGUGCCACUUGGACUCUUGAAAACCAUUAAUAGUUCACAUUUUAAAACCCUGUUAAUACUAGAAUUCCACAUUAUUUCAGCCAUGUUGAAUUUUAGAUUUUGGAAGUCCUUUUUAAUUGAUUUGCUUAGUGAUACCCAAAGUAUGGAUAUUUCUUUAAGAACUGUGUUUUUAUGUUCAUAGGAUUGUAGAAAUUAAUGAGUUAAACUCAGUUUAUGUCGCUGUAAACUGAAAGUCUUCAAUUUUUAUUCCUGUGUUAGUGAAACUAUACAUUGACUUUGAAGGCUUUUUUACCAGUUCUCUGAGGAAUGGUUGUUAUUCGUUUUGAAUGUUUGAAUAUACUGGAAAUAUAUGUGGCUUGAGGCAUAGUGGUGCCUUUAAAUAAAAAUUCUGUUCUGACGGUUA
Poecilia reticulata (guppy) is the source of this 821-nucleotide long non-coding RNA. RefSeq lists it as uncharacterized. NCBI's taxonomy places the organism in Eukaryota, Metazoa, Chordata, Actinopteri, Cyprinodontiformes, Poeciliidae. The record is from RefSeq and is a predicted model, not a curated record.